Molecule: ribosomal RNA, 475 nt
Filed under: uncultured bacterium
Lineage: Bacteria
Description: bacterial SSU rRNA
Rfam family: Bacterial small subunit ribosomal RNA
Source: RNAcentral
GAUGAACGCUAGCUACAGGGCUUAACACAUGCAAGUCGAGGGGCAGCAUGAACAUAGCUUGCUAUGUUUGAUGGCGACGGCGCACGGGUGAGUAACGCGUGGGUAACCUGCCGUAUACAGGGGGACAACAGUUGGAAACGACUGCUAAUACCGCAUAAGCGCACAGGACCGCAUGGUCUGGUGUGAAAAACUCCGGUGGUAUACGAUGGACCCGCGUCUGAUUAGCUAGUUGGUGAGGGUUAAACGGGCCCCACCAAGGCGACGAUCAGUAGCCGGCCUGAGAGGGUGAACGGCCACAUUGGGACUGAGACACGGCCCAAACUCCUACGGGAGGCAGCAGUGGGGAAUAUUGGACAAUGGGGGAAACCCUGAUCCAGCGACGCCGCGUGAGUGAAGAAGUAUUUCGGUAUGUAAAGCUCUAUCAGCAGGGAAGAAAAUGACGGUACCUGACUAAGAAGCUCCGGCUAAAUACGUG